Molecule: ribosomal RNA, 619 nt
Filed under: uncultured bacterium
Lineage: Bacteria
Description: bacterial SSU rRNA
Rfam family: Bacterial small subunit ribosomal RNA
Source: RNAcentral
GUCGAGCGAUCCCUUCGGGGAGAGCGGCAGACGGGUGAGUAACGCGUGGGAACGUACCUUUCGCUACGGAAUAGCUCUGGGAAACUGGUGGUAAUACCGUAUACGCCCUUCGGGGGAAAGAUUUAUCGGCGAAAGAUCGGCCCGCGUUAGAUUAGGUAGUUGGUGGGGUAAUGGCCUACCAAGCCUACGAUCUAUAGCUGGUCUGAGAGGAUGAUCAGCCACACUGGGACUGAGACACGGCCCAGACUCCUACGGGAGGCAGCAGUGGGGAAUCUUGCACAAUGGGCGAAAGCCUGAUGCAGCCAUGCCGCGUGAAUGAUGAAGGCCUUAGGGUUGUAAAAUUCUUUCGCCAGGGAUGAUAAUGACAGUACCUGGUAAAGAAGCCCCGGCUAACUUCGUGCCAGCAGCCGCGGUAAUACGAAGGGGGCUAGCGUUGUUCGGAAUUACUGGGCGUAAAGCGCACGUAGGCGGACUUUUAAGUCAGGUGUGAAAUCCCGGGGCUCAACCUCGGAACUGCAUUUGAAACUGGAAGUCUGGAGUUCAGGAGAGGUUAGCGGAAUACCGAGUGUAGAGGUGAAAUUCGUAGAUAUUCGGUGGAACACCAGUGGCGAAGGCGGCU